RNAcentral lists this transfer RNA (76 nucleotides) under bacterium. Its description in RNAcentral is "tRNA-Ala". It matches the Rfam family "tRNA". From Rfam's summary of the family: Transfer RNA (tRNA) molecules are approximately 80 nucleotides in length. RNAcentral also lists the same sequence under 2 other names. The record is from RNAcentral.
GGGGCCUUAGCUCAGCUGGGAGAGCGCUUGAAUGGCAUUCAAGAGGUCAUGAGUUCGAUCCUCAUAGGCUCCACCA